RNAcentral lists this ribosomal RNA (436 nucleotides) under uncultured bacterium. Its description in RNAcentral is "partial 16S ribosomal RNA". It matches the Rfam family "Bacterial small subunit ribosomal RNA", at positions 338 to 795 of the family's 1533-position model. The record is from RNAcentral.
CCUACGGGAGGCAGCAGUGGGGAAUAUUGCACAAUGGGGGAAACCCUGAUGCAGCGACGCCGCGUGAGUGAAGAAGUAUUUCGGUAUGUAAAGCUCUAUCAGCAGUGAAUUGACGGUAUCUGCAAAGGAAACACGCGCUAACUCCGUGCCUGCCGCCGUGGUAAUACGGAGGGUGCGAGCGUUAAUCGGAAUUACUGGGCGUAAAGCGCUCGUAGGCGGUAGGUCAAGUCAAGGGUGAAAUCCCGGGGCUCAACGUGGGAACUGCCUUUGAAACUGGCAAGCUGGAGUGUGUGAGAGGUUAGUGGAAUUCCAGGUGUAGGGGUGAAAUGCGUAGAUAUCAGGAGGAACAUCAGUGGCGAAGGCGACUAACUGGCACGUAACUGACGCUGAGGCGCGAAAGCGUGGGUAGCAAACAGGAUUAGAUACCCGAGUAGUC